Molecule: long non-coding RNA, 1697 nt
Organism: Astatotilapia calliptera (eastern happy)
Lineage: Eukaryota; Metazoa; Chordata; Actinopteri; Cichliformes; Cichlidae
Source: Ensembl
CUGCUUCAGUGGGCGUGUCCUCAGAGAUGCUUGAUCAUCCUCCAUCCUCACUUACAUUGAACACUGGGAUGUUGAGGGUGAUGCUCAAUUAGCACAACAUGCAAUAUUUUUAAAAAUGUCCCUGAUUUGAAUCUAAUGAUCACAAUACUGUCUGUAAAUGUGCCAAAGCAGCUUUGCAUAAAAACUCUUGUAUUUAAUUUUUAUUCACUGACAUUAAAUUCAUUAUUUAUUUAUAAUAUGUCAGCACUCAUAUUUUUAUUUUUGCAUUAAUUUUGAAAUGAAUAACAAGAAUGCUGCCCUUUCUACACAAACAAACUCUCCUCCUGUCUGUGUCUUUUCUCUGAUAGCAUUGUUGUUAUGUACUCUGCUGAUGUUGAGGAGUGUGGCUGUCAUGUAAAUGUAUAUAUGCAAUCCUGCUUGUUGUGCUCUUUAAUCAGUUCUCAAUCUUUGACAACUUUAUAAAUUCAUAUUGUCUUUUUUUUUCUUUUGGUACUGUUUUUUUUUUUCUCUUUCUUUUAUAAUGAUCUUUUUAUGGACUGAUUCAUAGAUGUCAUUUUUCUUCUAAUUACAAAAGCUGAACAGCUGAUUAUUUUAUGUCUCAAGUAUUUUGUGUGUGUGUGAGAGAGAUUCAAUGUUGGUCAAUUAAAUGUUAUUUAUUUAGUGCCAAAUCACAUUAACAGUCACAUCAUCUUUAUACUGUGAGGUAAAAACUCUACAAUAACACACAUCAAUUAAGGUUUGGAAACAGUAUCACCACUAGUUUUAAUUCAAUUAAAUUUUCUUUAUAUAGUGUCAAAUCACAACAACAGUUGCCUCAAGGUGCUUUAUAUUGUAAGGUAGAUCGUACAAUAAUACAUACAGAGAAAAACCCAACAAUGAUAUGACCCCCUGUGACCAAGCACUUUGGCAAAAGUGGGAAGGAAAAACUCCCCUUUAACAGGAAGAAACCUCUGGCAGAACCAGGCUCAGCGAAGGGCGGCCAUCUGCUGCGAAUGCUUGGGGAGAGAGAAUACUGAUAAAAAUAACUCAUAGAAUUAAAAAAGGUGCCACAGCACAAGUUUUGAUUGCUUAAAAAGCACAUUUGGCUUGUUCUUUUUAGGUUAGUUUAGUUUAGGUUUGUGGAAGGAAGGUCUGAUGCUUUCUAUCAUUCGAGUCCUAAAACAUCCAGAGGUGUGUUUUGGUUCACUUGCCUGCAGAAGAACAAACAAUAGUUACAUAAAUCUAUGUAGCAUGACAUAUCAAUGCAGGGUGUUGUGAUAACCAGCUUGAAUAAAGUCAGUAUAAAUCAUAAACUGUAUCCCCAUCACAAGGUUCCUCUGUGCAUUACAGUGAGAACACCACACACAGAGAACCAUCUGCUCAUUUACUCCAUGUGUCACAAAGACAGAGCAGAGCAAAGUGUGAAUUUCCAAUGGUCUGCCUGCUUAUUUUUCUGUCUCAGUAGUCUUUUCUUCACAGCAGUUGUACUUUUAAAUUGGAAAAAAAUAGAUAAAUACUACUUUUUCAUAAGACAACUGGUUGCCUUGUCUUAAGACUCACCUGUGAACACCAACCCACGCCAGUCAGAAUCGCUACAUUCAAAAUACAACUGUAAUCUAAUCUAAUUAAGUAGUCUAAAUCUGUUCUGCUCUGGGACUGCUCUUAGAGCACAGUUGAUUUCAUAUAUAAAAAAUAAAUAUUUUGUUUUUUGGCAACAG